AUAUAUAUAUGUGUGUGUGUGUGUGUGUACAUGUAUAUGUGUGUGUGUGUGUAUAUAUGUAUGUGUGUGUAUAUAUAUGUAUGUAUGUGUGUAUAUAUAUGUGUGUGUGCAUGUG
RNAcentral lists this microRNA precursor (115 nucleotides) under Tursiops truncatus (common bottlenose dolphin). Its description in RNAcentral is "miRNA (ENSTTRG00000021656.1)". The record is from RNAcentral. Lineage: Eukaryota; Metazoa; Chordata; Mammalia; Artiodactyla; Delphinidae.